RNAcentral lists this ribosomal RNA (836 nucleotides) under Gilbertaria squalescens. RNAcentral describes it as "Gilbertaria sp. MS-2022d partial large subunit ribosomal RNA". It matches the Rfam family "Eukaryotic large subunit ribosomal RNA", at positions 72 to 927 of the family's 3401-position model. The record is from RNAcentral. Lineage: Eukaryota; Fungi; Ascomycota; Lecanoromycetes; Lecanorales; Sphaerophoraceae.
GGAUUGCCUCAGUAACGGCGAGUGAAGCGGCAACAGCUCAAAUUUGAAAUCUGGCCCCCGCGGGGUCCGAGUUGUAAUUUGCAGAGGGUGUUUCGGGGGCGGCCCGGUCUAAGUCCCUUGGAACAGGGCGUCGCAGAGGGUGAGAAUCCCGUAUGUGACCGGUGACCAACCCCGCGCGAAACCCCUUCGACGAGUCGAGUUGUUUGGGAAUGCAGCUCAAAAUGGGUGGUAAAUUCCAUCUAAAGCUAAAUACCGGCCAGAGACCGAUAGCGCACAAGUAGAGUGAUCGAAAGAUGAAAAGCACUUUGGAAAGAGAGUUAAACAGUACGUGAAAUUGUUGAAAGGGAAGCGCUGGCGACCAGACCUGCCCCGGGCGAUCAGCGGCUGUUCUCAGCCGUGCACUCGCCCGCGAUCAGGCCAGCAUCGGUUCCGGCGGCCGGAGAAAGACUCGGGGAACGUAGCUCCCCCCGGGGAGUGUUAUAGCCCCGGGUGCAACGCGGCCAGCCGGGACCGAGGACCGCGCUUCGGCUAGGAUGCUGGCGUAAUGGUCGUCAGCGACCCGUCUUGAAACACGGACCAAGGAGUCUAACAUUCAUGCGAGUGUUUGGGUGUCAAACCCACGCGCGCAAUGAAAGUGAACGGAGGUGAGAACCCUCCAGGGCGCAUCAUCGACCGAUCCAGAUGUCUUCGGAUGGAUUUGAGUACGAGCAUGACUGUUGGGACCCGAAAGAUGGUGAACUAUGCCUGAAUAGGGUGAAGCCAGAGGAAACUCUGGUGGAGGCUCGCAGCGGUUCUGACGUGCAAAUCGAUCGUCGAAUUUGGGUAUAGGGGGCGAA